Molecule: ribosomal RNA, 460 nt
Filed under: uncultured bacterium
Lineage: Bacteria
Description: partial 16S ribosomal RNA
Rfam family: Bacterial small subunit ribosomal RNA
Source: RNAcentral
CCUACGGGAGGCAGCAGUGAGGAAUAUUGGUCAAUGGACGAGAGUCUGAACCAGCCAAGUAGCGUGAAGGAUGACUGCCCUAUGGGUUGUAAACUUCUUUUAUAUGGGAAUAAAAUGUUCCACGUGUGGGAUUUUGUAUGUACCAUAUGAAUAAGGAUCGGCCAACUCCGUGCCAGCAGCCGCGGUAAUACGGAGGAUCCGAGCGUUAUCCGGAUUUAUUGGGUUUAAAGGGAGCGUAGGUGGAUUGUUAAGUCAGUUGUGAAAGUUUGCGGCUCAACCGUAAAAUUGCAGUUGAAACUGGCAGUCUUGAGUACAGUAGAGGUGGGCGGAAUUCGUGGUGUAGCGGUGAAAUGCUUAGAUAUCACGAAGAACUCCGAUUGCGAAGGCAGUUCACUGGACUGCAACUGACACUGAGGCUCGAAAGUGUGGGUAUCAAACAGGAUUAGAUACCCCAGUAGUC